UGGGGAAUUUUGGACAAUGGGGGCAACCCUGAUCCAGCCAUGCCGCGUGAGUGAAGAAGGCCUUCGGGUUGUAAAGCUCUUUCGCGAGGGAAGAAAAGGCCACGGAUAAUACCUGUGGUUCAUGACGGUACCUUGAUAAGAAGCACCGGCUAACUACGUGCCAGCAGCCGCGGUAAUACGUAGGGUGCGAGCGUUAAUCGGAAUUACUGGGCGUAAAGCGUGCGCAGGCGGUUUGACAAGCCAGAUGUGAAAUCCCCGGGCUUAACCUGGGAACUGCGUUUGGAACUGUCAGGCUAGAGUAUGGGAGAGGGAGGUAGAAUUCCACGUGUAGCAGUGAAAUGCGUAGAGAUGUGGAGGAAUACCGAUGGCGAAGGCAGCCUCCUGGCCUAAUACUGACGCU
This 400-nucleotide ribosomal RNA is filed under the name uncultured bacterium. RNAcentral describes it as "bacterial SSU rRNA". It matches the Rfam family "Bacterial small subunit ribosomal RNA", at positions 355 to 747 of the family's 1533-position model. The record is from RNAcentral.